Molecule: ribosomal RNA, 229 nt
Filed under: uncultured bacterium
Lineage: Bacteria
Description: partial 16S ribosomal RNA
Rfam family: Bacterial small subunit ribosomal RNA
Source: RNAcentral
UGCGUAGGUGGUUAGGCAAGUCAGAUGUGAAAUCCCACAGCUCAACUGUGGAACUGCGUUUGAAACUGCUUAGCUUGGGUAUAUGAGAGGAAAGGGGAAUUCUAGGUGUAAGAGUGAAAUCUGUAGAUAUCUAGAGGAACACCAGCGGCGAAGGCGCCUUUCUGGCAUAUUACUGACACUGAGGCACGAAAGCGUGGGGAGCAAACAGGAUUAGAUACCCUGGUAGUCC